Molecule: ribosomal RNA, 774 nt
Filed under: uncultured Neocallimastigales
Lineage: Eukaryota; Fungi; Neocallimastigomycota; Neocallimastigomycetes; Neocallimastigales
Description: partial large subunit ribosomal RNA
Rfam family: Eukaryotic large subunit ribosomal RNA
Source: RNAcentral
CGUCUAUAUACGUAUAGCAUAUCAAUAAGCGGAGGAAAAGAAACUAACUAGGAUUCCCUCAGUAACGGCGAGUGAAGCGGGAAGAGCUCAAAUUUGAAAUCUUCAAGGUUUACCUUGACGAAUUGUAGUUUAAAGAAGUGUUUUCUGUUGGAGUUUUGGUAAAAGUUCUUUGGAAUAGGACAUCAUAGAGGGUGAGAAUCCCGUAUUUGACCAUUAUUUCCAACUUUGUGAUACACUUUCAAAGAGUCGGAUUGUUUGGGAAUGCAGUCCAAAAUGGGUGGUAAAUUUCAUCUAAAGCUAAAUACUGGCGAGAGACCGAUAGCGAACAAGUACCGUGAGGGAAAGAUGAAAAGAACUUUGAAAAGAGAGUUAAACAGUACGUGAAAUUGUCAAAAGGGAAGCGUUUGACACCAGUGUUGUUUUCUCGAAAAUCAAUUAAAAAUGACUGGAUUUUGUGUUGUAUUGACUUUAUCAGCUUUCUGCACUUUUUUCCUAGUCUUUUUUAAUGCACUUUUCGUUUAACAAGUCAACAUCAAUUUCUUUUGUUGUAAAAGGGUCAUUGGAAGGUGGCUUUCUUUUCGGAGAAAGUGUUUAUAGCCUUUGACUUCUGCAAUCGGAGAGAUUGAGGUCUGCAGCGUAGAUCCUUCGGGGUUAGAUGCAUUUGUGCUAAGUUAUAGCCUUUCAUAGACAACUUGUGGACUAUGAUCAGUCAUGUAGCUUACUCGCUUAUGUUAUUUUACCUACGCUUAGGAUGUUGACGAUCAGCUGAGCGCG